UACGAAGGGGGCUAGCGUUGCUCGGAUUCACUGGGCGUAAAGGGUGCGUAGGCGGGGCUUUAAGUCAGGGGUGAAAUCCUGGAGCUCAACUCCAGAACUGCCUUUGAUACUGAGGAUCUUGAGUUCGGGAGAGGUGAGUGGAACUGCGAGUGUAGAGGUGAAAUUCGUAGAUAUUCGCAAGAACACCAGUGGCGAAGGCGGCUCACUGGCCCGAUACUGACGCUGAGGCACGAAAGCGUGGGGAGCAAACAGG
RNAcentral lists this ribosomal RNA (253 nucleotides) under uncultured bacterium. RNAcentral describes it as "partial 16S ribosomal RNA". It matches the Rfam family "Bacterial small subunit ribosomal RNA", at positions 524 to 776 of the family's 1533-position model. The record is from RNAcentral.